This 497-nucleotide ribosomal RNA is filed under the name uncultured bacterium. RNAcentral's name for it is "partial 16S ribosomal RNA". It matches the Rfam family "Bacterial small subunit ribosomal RNA", at positions 28 to 507 of the family's 1533-position model. The record is from RNAcentral.
GAUGAACGCUGGCGGCGUGCCUAAUACAUGCAAGUCGAGCGAACGGACGAGAAUCUUGCUUCUCGGAUGUUAGCGGCGGACGGGUGAUUAACACGUGGAUAACCUACCUAUAAGACUGGGAUAACUUCGGGAAACCGGAUCUAAUACCGGAUAAUAUUUUGAACCGCAUGGUUCAAAAGUGAAAGACGGUCUUGCUGUCACGUAUAGAUGGAUCCGCGCUGCAUUAGCUAGUUGGUAAGGUAACGGCUUACCAAGGCAACGAUGCAUAGCCGACCUGAGAGGGUGAUCGGCCACACUGGAACUGAGACACGGUCCAGACUCCUACGGGAGGCAGCAGUAGGGAAUCUUCCGCAAUGGGCGAAAGCCUGACGGAGCAACGCCGCGUGAGUGAUGAAGGUCUUCGGAUCGUAAACCUCUGUUAUUAGGGAAGAACAUAUGUGUAAGUAACUGUGCACAUCUUGACGGUACCUAAUCAGAAAGCCACGGCUAACUACGUG